RNAcentral lists this long non-coding RNA (823 nucleotides) under Pan paniscus (pygmy chimpanzee). Its description in RNAcentral is "lncRNA (ENSPPAG00000044215.1)". Lineage: Eukaryota; Metazoa; Chordata; Mammalia; Primates; Hominidae. The record is from RNAcentral.
GGGCUAGUCCAGGCAUGGUGGCUCACGCCUGUAAUCCCAGCACUUUGGGAGGCCGAGGCGGGCAGAUCAUGAGGUCAGGAGAUCAAGACCAUCGUGGCUAACACGGUGAAACCCGGUCUCUACUAAAAAUACAAAAAAUUAGCUGGGCAUGGUGGUGGGCACCUGUAGUCCCAGCUACUCGGGAGGCUGAGGUAGGAGAAUGGCGUGAACCUGGGAGGCAGAUAUUGCAGUGAGCCAAGAUCGUGCCACUGCACUCCAGCCUGGGCGACAGAGCGAGACUCUGUCUCAAAAAAAAAAAAAAAAAAAAAAAAAAGAACUUAGAAAAAUCUAAACAUUUUCUUAAGCAAUUAUAACAAAAGCAGAGAGACAUUGCUGUCUUAGCCAGUCAAAUGCCCUUUUUCCUUCUUUUCUUUCUUUUUUUGAAAUUUGAAAAAAAGAAACAAAACACUCUUUAAUGUAACUACCCCUCUCCCUCUUGGUUUAUUAUUUCUAAGGCUCACAUAUGCCAACUAUUGGUUUGACCCAAGAAACUUUGAAAAUACACAUUCUGCAUACUUCUGCACAUUGCAGACGACUCUAUACCGCUUGCAUAGCCCCACACCCCUGUCAAAGGCAGGAGGAGGAUGCUUAAAGCUGCCACUGGAGACGGAUACAGCACGUGGUUGUUCUGGAAAAGUCCCUUUCAGCAUACCUUGAACAUCACCAAGAGGCAGCCCUCCACCUACCUCCUCCGACCUCCCACUCCUUCUCUUCUAGAAUACCCUGUUUGUCCUUCUUCAACACCUUCGACUCUUUCCAGGCAGGUAUCAAUGUGCCCUCCCUG